RNAcentral lists this ribosomal RNA (233 nucleotides) under uncultured bacterium. Its description in RNAcentral is "partial 16S ribosomal RNA". It matches the Rfam family "Bacterial small subunit ribosomal RNA", at positions 100 to 334 of the family's 1533-position model. The record is from RNAcentral.
CGGGACGGGUGAGUAAUGUCUGGGGAAACUGCCUGAUGGAGGGGGAUAACUACUGGAAACGGUAGCUAAUACCGCAUAACGUCGCAAGACCAAGAGGGGGACCUUCGGGCCUCUUGCCAUCGGAUGUGCCCAGAUGGGAUUAGCUAGUAGGUGGGGUAACGGCUCACCUAGGCGACGAUCCCUAGCUGGUCUGAGAGGAUGACCAGCCACACUGGAACUGAGACACGGUCCAG